GCCCCCGAGUGAUCCGCUCCGCCUCCGCGCCCACCUCCUGCGGGAGGUGGUCCGGCCGACUGGGAUUGUGGGAGGUGUAGUUCGCCGCGAAGUGCGGCGCGCUCCGUCCUCCGCCGCGCGGGGGCAGCGAAAAUGUGGCGGUGGCCUGAACUGUGGACAGCAGAGUGGAAAUACAUGUUGAAGUAUUUAUGGAUAAAGGGAUAUGGUGUCUGCAAAUUACUCUCCAAUGAUUUAGGAAUAAACACAUGUACAGAGCAAGGGAGAAAGAGAGCAAACAAUAAGCCACAUGGACUGAAAUGUUCGUUGGAGAAAAUGGGUAAGGUGUAUUUGGAGGGUUUUUGUAUUUUUGCAACUGUUCCAUAAGUGUUAGUCAUUUUUAAUUCUUUAAAAAGAAUGUAUUUGUGGGGUGCCUGGGUGGCUCACUCUGGUUGAGUGUCUGACUCUUGAUCUCGGCUCAGGUCAUGAUCUCAUGGCCGUGGGAUUGAACCCUGCCGUGGGGUCUGUGCUGACGGUGGGGAGCCUGCUUGGAAUUCUCUCCCUCUCCCUCUGCCCCUCAUUUGUGCGCAUGCGCACAUGCUUUUGGUCUCUCUCAAAUAAAUUAAAAAAAAAAAAAAAAGUAAGUGAGCAA
Neofelis nebulosa (Clouded leopard) is the source of this 628-nucleotide long non-coding RNA. RefSeq lists it as uncharacterized. The transcript has 2 exons. The record is from RefSeq and is a predicted model, not a curated record. NCBI's taxonomy places the organism in Eukaryota, Metazoa, Chordata, Mammalia, Carnivora, Felidae.